This 344-nucleotide ribosomal RNA is filed under the name Lysinibacillus sphaericus OT4b.31. RNAcentral describes it as "bacterial SSU rRNA". It matches the Rfam family "Bacterial small subunit ribosomal RNA", at positions 1 to 332 of the family's 1533-position model. Lineage: Bacteria; Bacillati; Bacillota; Bacilli; Caryophanales; Bacillaceae. The record is from RNAcentral.
UUUUAUGGAGAGUUUGAUCCUGGCUCAGGACGAACGCUGGCGGCGUGCCUAAUACAUGCAAGUCGAGCGAAUGAUGAGGAAGCUUGCUUUCUCUGAUUUAGCGGCGGACGGGUGAGUAACACGUGGGCAACCUACCUUGUAGUUUGGGAUAACUCCGGGAAACCGGGGCUAAUACCAAAUAAUCUCUUUUACUUCAUGGUGAAAGACUGAAAGACGGUUUUGGCUGUCGCUAUAGGAUGGGCCCGCGGCGCAUUAGCUAGUUGGUGAGGUAACGGCUCACCAAGGCAACGAUGCGUAGCCGACCUGAGAGGGUGAUCGGCCACACUGGGACUGAGACACGGCCC